Molecule: long non-coding RNA, 2595 nt
Filed under: Xyrichtys novacula (pearly razorfish)
Lineage: Eukaryota; Metazoa; Chordata; Actinopteri; Labriformes; Labridae
Source: RNAcentral
UGUCCUCUGGCCAUCGCCCUCUCUGUUAACGCCCAUCACUGCAAAGACCCUUUUCCUUCAUCGGCGUUUGCUGUUCUUCCUGCCAGUGCGUGUUGCUUUCACUUACACUUGCCACAGCCAGCCUCGUGAGUGCCUAGCCUAUUGGAUAUCACUGUCACCUACACAGGACAGUCAUUACCUUUCUAUUAAUACUUUGUGUUUUAAUUUCACAUUAAUUUCCAUAUUGUAUAAACGACUGGAAAAAACUUGAGCCCCUGCCCCUGUAUAAUCAUGUGCAUGUCUCUGUUCUAGCUCCAAGGUGAAUCUUCACUGCUCAUGUUCUCCUCAGAAGCACUCACCUCACUCCCCUCAGGUUACUGUACACAUGCACCAACUGCCUGCUUCAGGUUUGGAUGGAGCUUCAUGGUUGUCUUUUGGAGAAAUGACCAGUCAAGUUGUGUUUGAAAUUUGAUUUUUUUCAGGGGCAAAAGGAGCCUCUGCAUUCUUGUCAAAUAUGUAAAUAGCAUGUUUUUGCAGGUGCUAAAAACCAGACUCUGAGUGUGUGUGUGUGUGUGUGUGUGUGUGUGUGUGUGUGUGUGUGUGUGUGUGUGUGUGCGUGUGUGUGUGUCUAUGUGUGCGUUCAAGUCACAUGACAUAUUUAACCGGAUGUAGCUGCAAGACGGAGCCUCGUUGACUCUCCGUUUCAACUUAUCUCAAAAGUGAGGACCUCAACCUAUAUACCAGUUUUUAAAUUGUGUUGAUAGGCCAAAUAAAACCAGAGUUAUGAUAAAUUAUGUCCGCGAUACUUUUUUUCUGCUUAUUUUGAUCACGUUCGGCGCUCGAUCGCGCUGUAUGAGACAGGAAAACAUAGCAUGCAGACAUUAGCGACAGGUCUUACAGGCGGAAAAGGCUUGCCAAAAGAAAAAAAAAACACACCACAACAUCUCUCCUAUUGGUGGAAAACUUCACCACAACAACCAAUCCAAAAUUAUAUGGUGACUGAUUGACAAGGGGCGGGCGCUUACGUUCUUCCUGCAACAUGAGAAGGGAGGGAGGGACUCUCAGCAGGGAUGCAGUCUGGGACACGUAGUUGCAAACCUAGCGACUUUGUUGUUAGAUUCAAUGACUUUUCAGACACCCUAACGACUUUUUUUAGAAAGAAAGGGACUUUUAUCGACUUCUUCUGGAGUUUAGAGACUCUGACAUGAAGCAGGCUUUCCUUACUGAGGAGUUAGCAACGCUGCUAAGGGUGCAGAGCCACACAUGCGCUCAGAGCUCUGCAUGGGAGACUGAAGCUGACAGAGCUGCAGCAGUUAGCAGGUUUCACCCUCAGAGACCACCAGGGGUUCAUGUUGAGGCAUUUUAAUUUUUUUUUUUUUUGUGCCAUAGACACUGUCAGCACAAUCUGCAGUUACACUAACAAAAAUGCUGCAAAAAACAAAUAAUUAUGGAAAAAUUACACAUGGACUGACAUAGAGGAGGAUCUACACAAGUUUUUUACAUCAUGUUUUACAUCAUGCAUCAUUUACAUCAUGUUUUUUUGUAGUGGCAUAAAUAAAAAGUGACAUUUGUGAGACUAUACAGUGUUUUGUAAAUAAUUUUACAAAGAACGCCUGGGCCAUUGCCUGCAUUUUGAUGUAAAUAGAGGUAAAUUACUAUGUUCUUUGUUAAAAAUUUGCAUAUGUUUUGAAGUUUACAAUUUUUAUUUGAAGUUUAAGUUUUAAAAACAGUUCAUCACACAUAUUUGUGGUUUAAUUUCACAUUAAUUUCCAUAUUGUAUAAAUGACUGGAAAAAUCUUGAGCCCCUGCCCCUGUAUAAUCAUGUGCACGUCCCUGUUCUAGCUCCAAGGUGAAUCUUCACUGCUCAUGUUCUCCUCAGAAAUAGUCACCUCACUCCCCUCAGGUUACUGUACACAUGCACCAACUAUCUGCUUCAGGUUUGAAAUGGAGCUUCAUGGUUGUCUUUUGGAGAAAUGAACAGUCAAGUUGUGUUUGAAAUUUGAUUUUUUUCAGGGGCAAAAGGAAGCCUCUGCAUUCUUGUCAAAUAUGUAAACAGCAUGUUUUUGCAGGUGCUAAAAAACAGACUCUGAGUGUGUGUGUGUGUCUGUGUGUGUGUGUGUGUGUGUGUGUGUGUGUGUGUGUAUGUUGGCGUGUGUGUAUAUGUGUGUGUAUCCUGCAGUACUCUGUACUCCUGCAGUGGCCAAAAAGACUUUUAAGAAUGUGGAUUUUUGGGUCAUCUUUGGCGCCCCCUAGAACUGCAGUACUCUGUACUCCUGCAGUGGCCAAAAUGACUUUUAAGAAUGUGGAUUUUUGGGUCAUCUUUGGCGCCCCCUAGAACGUAAACCGUGGGGUGCAGCGUCAUGAUUUUUACAACUUUGAAUGGGCAUGGGGUGUAGAUUGCCCUGAGCAAAUUUGGUAUCGGUGGGACGAAAGCCUUAGGAGGAGAUAGCCACAUUCCAAUGUGUGCGAAUCGGCAAAAAAUGCAAAAUAGCCCUUUAACCGUACAUUAUACAGAUACGCGCUCUUUGACUUUUUCGUAGAUCUAAUUGAGAUACACAUGAUUGUCAAUUUUUGUGUCAAUAUGACAAAGCGUUCAGGCGUGACACUCAACAAUGU